Molecule: long non-coding RNA, 364 nt
Organism: Python bivittatus (Burmese python)
Lineage: Eukaryota; Metazoa; Chordata; Lepidosauria; Squamata; Pythonidae
Source: RefSeq, a predicted model, not a curated record
CGCCUCAUCAGCAGCAGGAGCAAGAAGAUGGCGAAGAGUUCCUACCAAGGUGGGAUGAAGACCAACUGAUGCCCUAAGCACAGCACAGCUGUGUGCCUCUCAGCCCUUCCAUUGUUUAACUGACAAGACAUGAAGACUCAACACGUAAUCUCUGGCCACAGACCAUCAAAUGAUCAGAAGAUACAGUAUCUGCUAGAACUGUUAUCCCAAUCCUUUUUAUAAUGUCAUGUUUUAAGCUGGAUGGACAUAGGUCAGAUGCUGUAAAUUCUAUCUAUAGAAGAGACUUGUCUUAAAAGAAAAAGAGAACUUUGCCAGCAGACAAGAGGCAAAUAUUUCUCAAAAGUGGUGGUUACCUGGGGGUAGU